This 486-nucleotide ribosomal RNA is filed under the name uncultured bacterium. Its description in RNAcentral is "partial 16S ribosomal RNA". It matches the Rfam family "Bacterial small subunit ribosomal RNA", at positions 30 to 507 of the family's 1533-position model. The record is from RNAcentral.
AUUGAACGCUGGCGGCAUGCCUUACACAUGCAAGUCGAACGGCAGCACGGGUGCUUGCCCCUGGUGGCGAGUGGCGAACGGGUGAGUAAUACAUCGGAACAUGUCCUGUAGUGGGGGAUAGCCCGGCGAAAGCCGGAGUAAUACCGCAUACGAUCUACGGAUGAAAGCGGGGGACCUUCGGGGCUCGCGCCAUGGGGUUUGCCGAUGGCUGAUUAGCUAGUUGGUGGGGUAAAGGCCUACCAAGGCGACGAUCAGUAGCUGGUCUGAGAGGACGACCAGCCACACUGGGACUGAGACACGGCCCAGACUCCUACGGGAGGCAGCAGUGGGGAAUUUUGGACCAUGGGCGAAAGCCUGAUCCAGCAAUGCCGCGUGUGUGAAGAAGGCCUUCGGGUUGUAAAGCACUUUUGUCCGGAAAGAAAUCCUUGGCCCUAAUACGGUCGGGGGAUGACGGUACCGGAAGAAUAAGCACCGGCUAACUACGUG